Molecule: ribosomal RNA, 567 nt
Filed under: Escherichia coli
Lineage: Bacteria; Pseudomonadati; Pseudomonadota; Gammaproteobacteria; Enterobacterales; Enterobacteriaceae
Description: partial 23S ribosomal RNA
Rfam family: Bacterial large subunit ribosomal RNA
Source: RNAcentral
AUAAUGGGUCAGCGACUUAUAUUCUGUAGCAAGGUUAACCGAAUAGGGGAGCCGAAGGGAAACCGAGUCUUAACUGGGCGUUAAGUUGCAGGGUAUAGACCCGAAACCCGGUGAUCUAGCCAUGGGCAGGUUGAAGGUUGGGUAACACUAACUGGAGGACCGAACCGACUAAUGUUGAAAAAUUAGCGGAUGACUUGUGGCUGGGGGUGAAAGGCCAAUCAAACCGGGAGAUAGCUGGUUCUCCCCGAAAGCUAUUUAGGUAGCGCCUCGUGAAUUCAUCUCCGGGGGUAGAGCACUGUUUCGGCAAGGGGGUCAUCCCGACUUACCAACCCGAUGCAAACUGCGAAUACCGGAGAAUGUUAUCACGGGAGACACACGGCGGGUGCUAACGUCCGUCGUGAAGAGGGAAACAACCCAGACCGCCAGCUAAGGUCCCAAAGUCAUGGUUAAGUGGGAAACGAUGUGGGAAGGCCCAGACAGCCAGGAUGUUGGCUUAGAAGCAGCCAUCAUUUAAAGAAAGCGUAAUAGCUCACUGGUCGAGUCGGCCUGCGCGGAAGAUGUAACGGG